This is a long non-coding RNA of Papaver somniferum (opium poppy), 4034 nucleotides long. RefSeq lists it as uncharacterized. The transcript is spliced from 5 exons. The record is from RefSeq and is a predicted model, not a curated record. NCBI's taxonomy places the organism in Eukaryota, Viridiplantae, Streptophyta, Magnoliopsida, Ranunculales, Papaveraceae.
CGAGAGAGGAGAUCGAGACAGAGAAGAUUAAUGAAAGAUGAUUGAAGAUAGAAAUGAUUGAGGAUAGAAAUUGAGAAGGAUUCGAAGUAGAAGAUGUGAAUGCUGCCAUCGAUUAACAACAUGGGUCGCUGCUGUGUGAUGUGAAGAGUUAGGGUUUUGCAGCGGAAUUCGAAAUUUAAUUGAAGAAUUGAAUUCAGGGUCUGAGAAUCUGAGGGUUUUUAUGAGUCUUGAUGUUACGGAGAAGAAGAUGUGGUUCUCUGUUAACAGAAAGAAGGGUUGAGGAACUCAAACCGGUGAUGUGGAAAUCAGAGAGAUGGGUUCGAUGCUCUUACCAUGGUGAUUAUCAAGGAAUGGGGCUGUUGUCAAAUUAAGAGAAGAACGAAUAUCCCUGGUUGUGGGUUUUUUUAACGAAGAUGAUGGAGAUGUUAUUGUGUAACGACGGGGUUGAAAUUGAAGAACUGAAAGUGAAAUUAAUCAUAGCUAUAUUGGGAUUUCACUUAAUUCUGCUAGAUCAGUGCUUGAUCAUAUACAGGGAGAUGAUUUGCAUAUCAGUUGUUAUUAUAUCGACACAAAUCUUAAUGCAUAUGCGAUAUCGACUGCUCAGGCCAAUGCGAAUCCAAGUCCAGUUGUUCAAGUAUCAACCAUAGUUUGUGAAAAUUGCGAAUUAAAUGGUGCUGUGAGUUGCUCGCAGUGUGAGGUAAUGGGGUGAAUUCUGUUGACCACUCUGACAGACGGUUGAAGGCAGGUGGUUUAGGUUGGCUUUGUAGUUAUGAAUUGUUUGUAUACAGGACAUGCUCAUUGCUGGAACCGAUGCAUCUUCUUCGACGCUUGUGUGGGCAAUGACAGAACUAAUUAGCAGUCCAAUGGUGAUGGAAAGAGUACAAAAGGAAGUGAGAAGAUUUCUCGGCUAUAAAAACGUGGUACAUGAAAUUGAUCUUCCCAAACUGAACUACUUGAAAUCAGUGGUAAAAGAGACACUGCGGAUUCAUCCUCCAGGACCAUUGCUAGUUCCAAGGGAAACUAGAGAUGACUGCUUAAUAAACGGGUACAACAUCCCAGCCAAAACAAAGGUAUUCUUUAAUGCAAAAGCUAUUGCAGUGGACCCCUAAGUUUUUGGAAGACCCUGAAGAGUUCCGACCAGAAAGAUUCAUAACUAAGAACAUAGAAUUUAAAGGGCAUGACUUUGAGAUGGUACCAUUUGGGAUUGGACGGAGGGGUCGCCCUGGUAUUGAAUUUAAAGGGCAUGACUCAGCGCUAUUCCAUGUGAGGUAGCGUCUUGAGUACUCUCCAUCGCUUCGUUAUGUUUAUUUUCAAAAUGACAUUUCCUACGGCAAAAACCCAUCAGAUCUGGUUUUCCCCUCAGAUCUAGUCUUCUAAACCAUUUUUGUCAGACUAUCAGAAUUUAUUUUCCUCAAGUGUGUGCCGACCCCUUUCUCAAACUUUACUUCGGACCUAUCAUUGGGGUUGAAAAUAUUUUCUUUGAACUCAUUGGUAAAUUAUCUCUUUGGAUCUAAUUCGUUUAAGCCGAAGAGAUUUUCCUUUGGGGCGCACCCUCUAUGGAUCUGCGCCUUCUUCGAAUUUAUAGGUUUUCCUAAUCUAUUUGAAUUUGUUCGCUUAAAAUAAGCCUUUAAAUGAUCCCGUUUAGAACCAUUUCUCUUUGUCAUCAAUGUCCAAAAUACACCUAGGGUAUUUGCGAGACCCAAUACCUCUGAAGAGGGGAAUAAUUGCUGGGUUACCUCUCCCUACCCUCGGUGUCAAGGUUAUUUUCGUCAGAAUUAUUUUACUAACGAACCUUCUAUGGAUCCUGUUUCUUCGUCUAGACCCAUCUUUUGCAGAGAUAUCAGAUAUGGAGAAAAUCAAAGAUGAGGGAAAAGCGAAGGCAUCCUCAAAAGAAACGCUGAGGACGACACCAGUCAUGACUCGAAGCAAAUAGAAGGGUGAAAAAGCGAAGGCAUCAACCCAAAGGGUCGAUACAGUGGACAUCACUUCGCUAGUAAAUGCCAACGAAGUAGCAGCAUCAGCGGUCAAGUCCGUGGCAGCAAAAGCCGAUGCAGCAAAAGCAGCAGCAACUUCUCGUAACCACGAACAACGUGAAGGAUUUGCAGAAUCAACAAUGCAACAACCAGCUCUCGGGAUGCCGCUUACCAACGCUCAAAACCAAACUUUACCGGUCACCCUACCUUUGCUAACAAAAAAUCUACCGGCGAUUCCUCAUGACGAACCUCCAGUAGAGACCACUGAUCCGCCCAUACCCCUAAUCCAAACGGUUUAUGAAGAUCAUACCAUGGUGGAUGGGGGAAAAGGCAAGUUGGAACCCCAAAUCAAGGAUCAAAUCAUCACCCCCAGAUAAUGGCGGAGCUUGAGGAACUGAAGAAGAAUCAAAGGGUAUACACAGAGGCUGUAGCGUUGUUGGCACGAGAAAACCAAGAACUCAAAGAGAAAAUGGCUCAAAGCUUAGGAGCGGCGCACCAACAUGACGAAGCUAAUUCAAAAGCUCCAGAGCCCAAUCAUGACCAAAGACUCUUCGUGAAAAACGAAGCCAAUCCCGAACCAUUAAACCGAAGAACCGCCAGAAGAAAUAGGUCAUCGGAUCCGGACUAUACUCCUGAAGAUUCAGUGAGAACCGAGGAGCGGGACGAACCUUUGCGGAGGAUGAUCACUAUCGCGCUAUGGAAGACCUUCGUGCAGAGAUGAAGGCUGAAAUCAAGCAACUAAAGGCAAAGCAAUGAGGGGGAAGAUUAGAAGAGGUAAUGAGAGAAGCUAAUACUACACCGCUGACUCCGCGCCUAGCCAAAGCACUCAUACCGAAGAAAUGUCCAAUCCCAGCGAUCCCGCAACCAAUCUUUGAUAUUAUAAUCGUAUAUUAGCACGAUGGGAUCAAGAGGAUGUAGUCCUCUGUAGGUAUUUCCCAUCAAGUCUGAAAGGAUCGGCCUUGUCUUGGUUCGAUAACCUUCCUCCCAACUCCAUCAACUCCUUUGACCAACUCACUGAUAAAUUCUUGAGAACUUACAUGUACAACAAGGUCGUUCACGCUGGAAUGGACAAGUUAUUCUCACUGGCAAUCAAAUACAAGGAGACAACAAAAGAGUACUCGGAUAGAUGGCACAAGAUCUGACAAGCUAUAUGAAAUGUUGAUCUAGUGGUCAGCAUCAACUGCUACAAGUGGUGACUUGAUAUGAUGAGCCCACUAUUUGUUGAGAUUCACGGGAGUGUGCCCACUAAUGAAUGGGAUAUUCGAGUAAUUAUCGAAAAGCAUGCAAGGUUGGAAGAAAUUCAGCGGAAGAAUCCCAGAGCUCAGACUCAAAGGUCACAUCGAACUAAUUCAGCAGAGCAAUCCAGCGGGUCAAAAAGAGAUGGUUCUCCCGAACGUCCAACCGAAGAUAAGAGAGGAUGAAAGGAGGAUCGCCGACAUGACGAUCGAAAAUUCGAAGAUCAAGUCUACACAAAACUAAACACAAGUUAUGCUCGAAUCUUAAGAGAAAUUAAGGGCCGGGAAAACUUGGAAUGUUCAUGGUCUAAAGGAAAGCAGCCCCCAAGAUCCGAAAAGUCAAAGGAUUACUGCGAAUAUCACUGCUUCAAUGGGUACCAGACCGAAAAAUGCAAGAAUCUGAAGAUAAUGGUCCAAAAUCUCAUUGACGCGGGAGAUCUCAAGCAGUAUGUAUGAAAAGUAGAAACCGAAGAUAGGGCUACACGAAGCAAGCAAGUUCAAUUGCCUGAAGAAAACCGAACAAUGAAUACCAUUUCAUGUUCCGAAGCUACCGGACCUUCACUAACAGCUCAGAUAGGAAAAAGGCUGCGGAAGCAAUUUGAGGAUUACUGCGAGCUAUACAAAAUCGAUGAAGUAGAAGUGGACGAACAUGAGCAAUGGAUGAACGCGCCCUUGACCUUCGACUCUGAAGAUAUCGAAGAAGACAUGGAAGAUCACAAUGAUCCUUUGGUCCUCACAUUGCCAGUAGCGGGAUGAUGGUAUUUUCAAUCGAGUUGUAGUAAAAAGUUCGUUGAGACUUGUGAAAGCAAAAUAUUUUAGAUUUAAU